AGUGGCGGACGGGUGAGUAACGCGUAGGAACGUGUCUUGGGGUGGGGGAUAACGCUGGGAAACUGGCGCUAAUACCGCAUAUGGGCUGAGGCCCAAAGCCUUCGGGUGCCUUGAGAGCGGCCUGCGUCCGAUUAGCUAGUUGGUGGGGUAAAGGCUUACCAAGGCGUCGAUCGGUAGCUGGUCUGAGAGGACGAUCAGCCACACUGGGACUGAGACACGGCCCAGACUCCUACGGGAGGCAGCAGUGGGGAAUAUUGGACAAUGGGCGCAAGCCUGAUCCAGCAAUUCCGCGUGGGUGAAGAAGGUCUUCGGAUUGUAAAGCCCUUUCGACAGGGACGAUGAUGACGGUACCUGUAGAAGAAGCCCCGGCUAACCUCGUGCCAGCAGCCGCGGUAAUACGAAGGGGGCUAGCGUUGCUCGGAAUUACUGGGCGUAAAGGGCGCGUAGGCGGCGGUGUUAGUCAGGCGUGAAAUUCCUGGGCUCAACCUGGGGACUGCGCUUGAUACGGCAUUGCUUGAGGAUGGAAGAGGCUCGCGGAAUUCCCAGUGUAGAGGUGAAAUUCGUAGAUAUUGGGAAGAACACCGGUGGCGAAGGCGGCGAGCUGGUCCAUUACUGACGCUGAGGCGCGACAGCGUGGGGAGCAAAC
RNAcentral lists this ribosomal RNA (646 nucleotides) under uncultured Acetobacteraceae bacterium. Its description in RNAcentral is "bacterial SSU rRNA". It matches the Rfam family "Bacterial small subunit ribosomal RNA", at positions 94 to 773 of the family's 1533-position model. The record is from RNAcentral. Lineage: Bacteria; Pseudomonadati; Pseudomonadota; Alphaproteobacteria; Acetobacterales; Acetobacteraceae.